RNA transcript from Juglans microcarpa x Juglans regia, 536 nucleotides. RefSeq lists it as uncharacterized. The record is from RefSeq and is a predicted model, not a curated record. The transcript is spliced from 4 exons. Lineage: Eukaryota; Viridiplantae; Streptophyta; Magnoliopsida; Fagales; Juglandaceae.
UUUGAACGAUGAUCGCUUCGAUCUGUGAUAUAUUAAAGAUAAAAGGAAACAAAAAUGGAAGGGGUAGGAGGAGCAUCUUCGGUGAGGAUUGAUAGGAAAUCUUCCAUAGAUUCCGAGCCCAGAACUUUGAGCAUCGAUCAAAUCCACUAUGCCAGGGAGACAGCGCUGUAUGUGAUGAAAACUAUGUCCAUUGAAGAUGCAAUGAUUAUUUUCACGCAGCAAGAGGCCCAAAUCCUUUACCAUGCAUGCAUGCAUGCGGCUUAAAGUUUGAUCAGGGACUAGAACCAGUUGUUAGUGCUGGAAGGACGUGUAAUAAAAAUAAUGCAAUAUUGACAGAUACAGGUGAAGAGCUGGAGCAUGCAGCUGGAGAUCAGCAUCUACCGGCUGGACCCAGGGAUAUUGCAUCUGCACCUUUCUAGUUUGUUUUUUUUGUCACAUACUAUGCCAAUUUUUCCUUCUUCUUCUUCUUCUUCUUUUCUUUUGUCAUGUAAAGAACAUGAUGCUCGGUUCGUGUACAGGAUGGAAUUUUGCCUUUC